Molecule: ribosomal RNA, 496 nt
Filed under: uncultured bacterium
Lineage: Bacteria
Description: partial 16S ribosomal RNA
Rfam family: Bacterial small subunit ribosomal RNA
Source: RNAcentral
GAUGAACGCUGGCGGCGUGCCUAAUACAUGCAAGUCGAGCGAACAGAUGAGGAGCUUGCUCCUCUGACGUUAGCGGCGGACGGGUGAGUAACACGUGGAUAACCUACCUAUAAGACUGGGAUAACUUCGGGAAACCGGAGCUAAUACCGGAUAAUAUAUUGAACCGCAUGGUUCAAUAGUGAAAGACGGUUUUGCUGUCACUUAUAGAUGGAUCCGCGCCGCAUUAGCUAGUUGGUAAGGUAACGGCUUACCAAGGCAACGAUGCGUAGCCGACCUGAGAGGGGGAUCGGCCACACUGGAACUGAGACACGGUCCAGACUCCUACGGGAGGCAGCAGUAGGGAAUCUUCCGCAAUGGGCGAAAGCCUGACGGAGCAACGCCGCGUGAGUGAUGAAGGUCUUCGGAUCGUAAAACUCUGUUAUUGGGGAAGAACAAAUGUGUAAGUAACUAUGCACGUCUUGACGGUACCUAAUCAGAAAGCCACGGCUAACUACGU